Molecule: unclassified non-coding RNA, 338 nt
Filed under: soil metagenome
Description: partial contains 5.8S ribosomal RNA, internal transcribed spacer 2, and large subunit ribosomal RNA
Rfam family: 5.8S ribosomal RNA (bases 2-121)
Source: RNAcentral
GGAUGAAGAACGCAGCGAAAUGCGAUAAGUAGUGUGAAUUGCAGAAUUCAGUGAAUCAUCGAAUCUUUGAACGCACAUUGCGCCCCUUGGUAUUCCAUGGGGCAUGCCUGUUCGAGCGUCAUUUGUACCUUCAAGCUCUGCUUGGUGUUGGGUGUUUGUCUCGCCUCUGCGUGUAGACUCGCCUCAAAACAAUUGGCAGCCGGCGUAUUGAUUUCGGAGCGCAGUACAUCUCGCGCUUUGCACUCAUAACGACGACGUCCAAAAGUACAUUUUUACACUCUUGACCUCGGAUCAGGUAGGGAUACCCGCUGAACUUAAGCAUAUCAAUAAGCGGAGGA